GUGGGGAAUCUUGCGCAAUGGGCGAAAGCCUGACGCAGCCAUGCCGCGUGAAUGAUGAAGGUCUUAGGAUUGUAAAAUUCUUUCACCGGGGACGAUAAUGACGGUACCCGGAGAAGAAGCUCCGGCUAACUUCGUGCCAGCAGCCGCGGUAAUACGAAGGGGGCUAGCGUUGCUCGGAAUUACUGGGCGUAAAGGGCGCGUAGGCGGACAGCUUAGUCAGAGGUGAAAGCCCAGGGCUCAACCUUGGAAUUGCCUUUGAUACUGGCUGUCUUGAGUUUGGGAGAGGUGAGUGGAACUCCGAGUGUAGAGGUGAAAUUCGUAGAUAUCUGGAGGAACAUCAGUGGCGAAGGCGGCCACCUGGACCGGUAUUGACGCUGAGGUGCGAAAGCGUGGGGAGCAAACAGGAUUAGAAACCCUGGUAGUCC
RNAcentral lists this ribosomal RNA (425 nucleotides) under uncultured bacterium. RNAcentral's name for it is "partial 16S ribosomal RNA". It matches the Rfam family "Bacterial small subunit ribosomal RNA", at positions 354 to 796 of the family's 1533-position model. The record is from RNAcentral.